UACAAAAACGCAAAGUGAGAAUAUUCAAUUUUAGCAAUUACUGUUGAAGAAUAAUGCCGUGUUUAUAUAGCUAAAUUAAAACUUGUAUACAGAUGCUCAGGGGAGGAGGGGUGUGAUUGCUCAUAGUUGUUGCAAAAGACUGAGGAACAAUGUAUAUCAAAUUUGCAGUUAAAAAAUGAAGGGAACAGAUUCCCACUGAAUUAUUCCUGUUACAGGAAUAUAAAACAACAACAAUCAUAACCUUUUUGCACUCAAAUCCAAAGAAGGAACUUCACUGAGUAAAUAAUUAAGAGCUCUGUAUGGAUGCUAAAUUCAGAUAUCCUUGAAGAUGGCAAACAAAUCUCCAUUGAUGUAAUCGUUGUCGACAAGGCUAACCAAGAAGUAACUGUUCUGAACCUGUGAACAAAAUGAAGAAGCCAUUUUAUUAGUCGACCAAGAGCUUACAAGUGAUAGUUUCACAUAUGGUCCGUCUAAGUACUAAAACUAUUUUUGCAUAAGUAAAAUAAGACAACUAUGCUUGUAUAUCAUUGGAAUUUCACAGAUGGUCCGUCUAAGUAAUAAAACUAUUUUUGCAAAAGUAAAAUAAGACAACUAUGCUUGUAUAUCAUUGGAAUUUAACAAAGUUGGAAUAUAUUAGAUUCGAUCUCGAAAACUGCAAGUAGGAUGCCACAUGUAUAAAAUUGAAAUAUAAGUAUUGUCACAUCAGCAACUCACCUUAAAUAAUCCAUGUGGCACCACAGGAAAAUCCGAAAACAUUUUUAAAAAAAACAUCUCUUGAUCCACUAAAAAAUCCAUGAUACGACACAUAAUGAAAGAGAUAAGGUAUUUGGUUGGGUGUGAAAAUAUGCUCUCCGGUUCUUUUUUGGAUGUGGUGCUGCAUGAAUAUUAUGUAAGGUGACCUGCAAGUUAGCAACCAACUUGUGUUUGCAAGACCAGAUUUUGCAUUUUCCAGCAUUUGUUUUUUUCUGUAAUAUAUAUGCAUAGUUGAGUCCAUUAUUAGUUUUAUGAUGUUGGUGCAAUAAGCUGAGAAUUGGAUGAGCAUCCAUGAAAUUAACUCAGCAAACAUAC
RNAcentral lists this long non-coding RNA (1068 nucleotides) under Nicotiana benthamiana. RNAcentral's name for it is "long non-coding RNA (NBEN_LNC039197)". Lineage: Eukaryota; Viridiplantae; Streptophyta; Magnoliopsida; Solanales; Solanaceae. The record is from RNAcentral.